This 433-nucleotide ribosomal RNA is filed under the name uncultured bacterium. RNAcentral's name for it is "partial 16S ribosomal RNA". It matches the Rfam family "Bacterial small subunit ribosomal RNA", at positions 29 to 507 of the family's 1533-position model. The record is from RNAcentral.
AACGAACGCUGGCGGCGGGCUUAACACAUGCAAGUCGAGCGCAUCCUUCGGGGUGAGCGGCGGACGGGUGAGUAACGCGUGGGAACGUGCCCUCUUCUACGGAAUAGCCUCGGGAAACUGAGAGUAAUGCCGUAUACGCCCGCAAGGGGAAAGAUUUAUCGGAGGAGGAUCGGCCCGCGUUGGAUUAGGUAGUUGGUGGGGUAACGGCCUACCAAGCCGACGAUCCAUAGCUGGUUUGAGAGGAUGAUCAGCCACACUGGGACUGAGACACGGCCCAGACUCCUACGGGAGGCAGCAGUGGGGAAUCUUGGACAAUGGGGGCAACCCUGAUCCAGCCAUGCCGCGUGAGCGAUGAAGGCCUUAGGGUUGUAAAGAUCUUUCAGCUGGGAAGAUAAUGACGGUACCAGCAGAAGAAGCCCCGGCUAACUCCGUG